Molecule: ribosomal RNA, 253 nt
Filed under: uncultured bacterium
Lineage: Bacteria
Description: partial 16S ribosomal RNA
Rfam family: Bacterial small subunit ribosomal RNA
Source: RNAcentral
UACGUAGGGUGCGAGCGUUAAUCGGAAUUACUGGGCGUAAAGCGUGCGCAGGCGGUUGUGCAAGACAGAGGUGAAAUCCCCGGGCUCAACCCGGGAACUGCGUCCGAUACUGGCAGGCUUGAAUUCGGGAGAGGGAUGUGGAAUUCCAGGUGUAGCGGUGAAAUGCGUAGAUAUUUGGAGGAACACCAAUGGCGAAGGCAGCCCCCUGGGUUAACACUGACGCUCAUGCACGAAAGCGUGGGGAGCAAACAGG